This 358-nucleotide ribosomal RNA is filed under the name uncultured bacterium. Its description in RNAcentral is "partial 16S ribosomal RNA". It matches the Rfam family "Bacterial small subunit ribosomal RNA", at positions 338 to 693 of the family's 1533-position model. The record is from RNAcentral.
CCUACGGGAGGCAGCAGUGAGGAAUAUUGGUCAAUGGGCUUACGCCUGAACCAGCCAAGUCGCGUGAGGGAAGACUGCCCUAUGGGUUGUAAACCUCUUUUGUCAGGGAGCAAUUGGCGCUACGUGUAGCGUUAUCGAGAGUACCUGAAGAAAAAGCAUCGGCUAACUCCGUGCCAGCAGCCGCGGUAAUACGGAGGAUGCGAGCGUUAUCCGGAUUUAUUGGGUUUAAAGGGUGCGUAGGCGGAAUGCAAAGUCAGCGGUAAAAUCGCGGGGCUCAACCUCGCUCCGCCGUUGAAGCUGGCGUUCUUGAGGGGGCGAGAAGUAUGAGGAAGGCGGGGUGGUGCGGUGAAAUGUAUAG